UACGUAGGGGGCUAGCGUUGUCCGGAAUCAUUGGGCGUAAAGGGUGCGUAGGUGGCGCUGUAAGUCGGGUGUGAAAUUUCGGAGCUUAACUCCGAAACUGCAUUCGAUACUGCGGUGCUUGAGGACUGGAGAGGAGACUGGAAUUCAUGGUGUAGCAGUGAAAUGCGUAGAGAUCAUGAGGAAGACCAGUGGCGAAGGCGGGUCUCUGGACAGUUCCUGACACUGAGGCACGAAGGCCAGGGGAGCAAACGGG
This 253-nucleotide ribosomal RNA is filed under the name uncultured bacterium. Its description in RNAcentral is "partial 16S ribosomal RNA". It matches the Rfam family "Bacterial small subunit ribosomal RNA", at positions 524 to 776 of the family's 1533-position model. The record is from RNAcentral.